This 283-nucleotide ribosomal RNA is filed under the name uncultured soil bacterium. Its description in RNAcentral is "partial 16S ribosomal RNA". It matches the Rfam family "Bacterial small subunit ribosomal RNA", at positions 26 to 326 of the family's 1533-position model. The record is from RNAcentral.
AGGAUGAACGCUGGCGGUACGUCUGACACAUGCAAGUCGAGCGGCAAGGUGGCUUCGGCCACCCUAGAGCGGCGAACGGCUGAGUAACACGUAGGAACCUACCCCUUAGUUCGGGAUAACAGACCGAAAGGUCUGCUAAUACCGGAUAAUAUCGAAAGAUUGAAAGGUUUACCACUGAGGGAGGGCCUGCGGCGUAUUAGCUUGUUGGUGGGGUAAUGGCUCACCAAGGCGAUGAUGCGUAGCUGGUCUGAGAGGAUGAUCGAGCCAGACUGGGACUGAGACA